GGAGAGGUAGGAGAGAUCCAGAGACUGUCAUAUUGUGUCUUAUUCAGUGUGUGAUCAGUCAUGGUGUUGUGAACUGACAGCAGGUUUGUCUGUCUACACUCACAGCUCUCUCUAAGGAGGAGACACAGGACGAAGACUGAGGCCGUUUAUGAGGACAUUCAGCACAGACACAAUCACUUCACUCAGAGGGAGAGUCUCAUCUCUGAAGAACUGCAUUCUGGGUAUGAAGAUGCUGAUGAGCUUCUCUCAGCAAAAGUGUUCAAGACUGCAUAUUAUGAUGAUGUUACUAAUGAAAGUGGCCUAAAAGAAGAGAUGGUGAAGGAAAUCACACCCGGG
Molecule: long non-coding RNA, 336 nt
Organism: Cyprinus carpio (common carp)
Lineage: Eukaryota; Metazoa; Chordata; Actinopteri; Cypriniformes; Cyprinidae
Exons: 4
Source: RefSeq, a predicted model, not a curated record